Molecule: ribosomal RNA, 386 nt
Filed under: uncultured Methanosaeta sp.
Lineage: Archaea; Methanobacteriati; Methanobacteriota; Methanomicrobia; Methanotrichales; Methanotrichaceae
Description: bacterial SSU rRNA
Rfam family: Archaeal small subunit ribosomal RNA
Source: RNAcentral
GGUCAGGCUGAAGACCUUACCCGAUUAGCUGAGAGGUGGUGCAUGGCCGUCGUCAGUUCGUACUGUGAAGCAUCCUGUUAAGUCAGGCACGAGCGAGACCCACGUCCACAGUUGCCAGCAUACCCUCCGGGGUGAUGGGUACACUGUGGAGACCGCCGCUGCUAAAGCGGAGGAAGGAGUGGGCAACGGUAGGUCAGUAUGCCCCGAAUCUCCCGGGCUACACGCGGGCUACAAUGGUUGGUACAAUGGGCAUCUACCCCGAAAGGGGAAGGAAAUCUCUUAAAGCCAAUCGUAGUUCGGAUUGAGGGCUGCAACUCGCCCUCAUGAAGCUGGAAUCCGUAGUAAUCGCGUUUCAACAGAACGCGGUGAAUACGUCCCUGCUCCUU